GUGAAUCAUCGAGUCUUUGAACGCAAAUUGCACUCUCUGGUAUUCCGGAGAGUAUGCCUGUUUGAGGGUCAGUUAAAUAAAAAUCGGUGUUGUUGCUGCCUUGCGUAGUGACGCAUCGGAUCUGGGCCGUCUUACCUUCGGUUAAGUGACCUAAAAUUUUGCAUGAUUUUCGAACGUAUUUAAAUUAUUUACGUACGUUUGUGAUAUCGAAUACUAGGUGUGGUCAUUGUCAUGAUUCGCGCCUAUAAUUUUUCAUCAAAAUGACCUCAAAUCAGGUAAGAGUACCCGCUGAACUUAAGCAUAUCAAUAAGGCGAGG
RNAcentral lists this ribosomal RNA (317 nucleotides) under uncultured fungus. RNAcentral's name for it is "eukaryotic LSU rRNA". The stretch from base 1 to 71 matches the Rfam family "5.8S ribosomal RNA", at positions 84 to 154 of the family's 154-position model. Lineage: Eukaryota; Fungi. The record is from RNAcentral.